Molecule: transfer RNA, 71 nt
Filed under: Hepsetus odoe (African pike characin)
Lineage: Eukaryota; Metazoa; Chordata; Actinopteri; Characiformes; Hepsetidae
Description: tRNA-Asp
Rfam family: tRNA
About the family: Transfer RNA (tRNA) molecules are approximately 80 nucleotides in length. Their secondary structure includes four short double-helical elements and three loops (D, anti-codon, and T loops).
Source: RNAcentral
AAGGUACUAGUAAAAAGAUAUUACAUUGCUUUGUCAGGGCAGAAUUGCAGGUUAAACCCCUGCGUACCUUA